Molecule: ribosomal RNA, 450 nt
Filed under: uncultured bacterium
Lineage: Bacteria
Description: partial 16S ribosomal RNA
Rfam family: Bacterial small subunit ribosomal RNA
Source: RNAcentral
AGCGAACGCUGGCGGCAGGCCUAACACAUGCAAGUCGAACGGAUCCUUCGGGAUUAGUGGCGGACGGGUGAGUAACACGUGGGAACGUGCCCUUUGGUUCGGAACCACUCAGGGAAACUUGAGCUAAUACCGGAUGUGCCCUUCGGGGGAAAGAUUUAUCGCCAUUGGAGCGGCCCGCGUCUGAGUUAGCUAGUUGGUGGGGUAAAGGCCCACCAAGGCGAGGAUCAGUAGCUGGUCUGAGAGGAUGAUCAGCCACAUUGGGGCUGAGACACGGCCCGAUCUCCUCGGGGAGGCAGCAGUGGGGAGUCUGGCUCAAUGGGCGAAAGCCUGCCGCAGCCAUGCCGCGUGAAUGAUGAAGGUCUUAGGAUUGUAAAAUUCUUUCACGGGGGACGAUAAUGACGGUACCCGGAGAAGAAGCCCCGGCUAACUUCGUGCCAGCCGCCGCCGUAA